GCGGAUAUGGCGAAAUUGGCAGACGCACUAGACUUAGGAUCUAGCGCCGCAAGGCAUGUGGGUUCAAGUCCCUCUAUCCGCACCA
Molecule: transfer RNA, 85 nt
Filed under: Pseudomonadota bacterium
Lineage: Bacteria; Pseudomonadati; Pseudomonadota
Also listed under: 2 other names
Description: Proteobacteria bacterium (freshwater metagenome) tRNA-Leu
Rfam family: tRNA
About the family: Transfer RNA (tRNA) molecules are approximately 80 nucleotides in length.
Source: RNAcentral